AAGAGCGUAAAUGCACUAUGUUGCUAAUUAUGUAUAUAACGAAAUUAGCAGCAAGGCGCAUUUGCGUGCCA
Molecule: microRNA precursor, 71 nt
Filed under: Thelazia callipaeda (thelaziosis nematode)
Lineage: Eukaryota; Metazoa; Nematoda; Chromadorea; Rhabditida; Thelaziidae
Description: mir-5366 microRNA precursor family
Rfam family: mir-5366 microRNA precursor family
Source: Rfam by way of RNAcentral